Molecule: ribosomal RNA, 240 nt
Filed under: uncultured bacterium
Lineage: Bacteria
Description: partial 16S ribosomal RNA
Rfam family: Bacterial small subunit ribosomal RNA
Source: RNAcentral
GAUCAUGGCUCAGGAUGAACGCUGGCGGCGUGCUUAACACAUGCAAGUCGAACGAAGCACUUUAACCUGAUUCUUCGGAUGAAGGUUUUUGUGACUGAGUGGCGGACGGGUGAGUAACGCGUGGGUAACCUGCCUCAUACAGGGGGGAUAACAGUUAGAAAUGACUGCUAAUACCGCAUAAGACCACGGAGCCGCAUGGCUCAGUGGGAAAAACUCCGGUGGUAUGAGAUGGACCCGCGU